CUCAUUGGUGGAAGGAACUUGCCUUGUCUCAGCUGUCAUGUAAGACAUGCUGCCUUGCUUCCCCUUCACCUUCCACCAUGAUUCUAAGUUUCCUGAGGUCUCUCCAGCCAUGCAGAACUUUUCAAACCCCUGGAAUCAUCUGAUUGGUUCACUUAAAAGUCCACCCUCGUCCAAUUGGUUUUCGCAAAGAGGACAGAUUUGCACAUGGCAAAUGUGGCUCAUGAACAAAUUCUCUAUGUGUCCCCAUGAAUGAAAGGCCAGUUGCUAGAGAAAGAAAAUCGUAUAUUGGGCAGAUGCCUAAAAGGUGUUGCCUGACGACUGUGAGAGAGAGGAGAAGCAGUAAACUUUUACUGGAAAAUGAAUAAAUAAAAGGACAUCAGGACAAGAUGCAAAGGAAAGAUGAGAAGAUGAUGACUUUGAAUCAGAAUGGCAGAGAGAUUUGAAGUCAACAAUCACAGAAGAAUCAUCCAUAAUUUAGUGGGUAAUCUCUCUACUCUUGGUCUCAAGUGGACAUUGAGUAAUUCCAUUCAUUUCAUAAUACAUUAUUUUGAUAUUCUUUCAUCAUUUGAAUGAAAAGUAGCUUAUAUUUAAAAGGGAGAGAAGAAAAAAACCAACUAACCUUGAGUUUCUGCUGAAGUAGCUGAGGAUCCAAGAUGCUCUAGGCUGCAAGCUGAAGUUUGAAAAAAAUUCAGCCUGCUGACUUUUAUCCUCUCUUUUGGACAAGAUGACUGUGGGCAAUUUGGGCCUCUGGCUAUGAAACAUGAACCUGUCUAUCCGCGUUAUUAAUGGAUACUUGAUGGGAUGAGCUAACGAUGACUUUGGUUUCUUUGAAAACAGGAAAUUUCUUGAGAUAGGAAAAGCCAAAUAAAC
This 870-nucleotide long non-coding RNA is filed under the name Pan troglodytes (chimpanzee). Its description in RNAcentral is "lincRNA". The record is from RNAcentral. Lineage: Eukaryota; Metazoa; Chordata; Mammalia; Primates; Hominidae.